RNAcentral lists this transfer-messenger RNA (365 nucleotides) under Salimicrobium flavidum. Its description in RNAcentral is "Standard tmRNA". It matches the Rfam family "transfer-messenger RNA". Rfam says of the family: Bacterial tmRNA, also known as 10Sa RNA or SsrA, is named for its dual tRNA and mRNA-like properties. Its role is to liberate the mRNA from a stalled ribosome. Lineage: Bacteria; Bacillati; Bacillota; Bacilli; Caryophanales; Bacillaceae. The record is from RNAcentral.
GGGGACGUUACGGAUUCGACGGGGAUAGUUCGAACUCGGGCUGCAGGUCGAGGCGACGACUCGUAAAACGUCAUUUGCCUAAAUAUAACUGGCGAAUCUGAAGAUAACCUAGCUCUAGCAGCAUAAACUGACUGGAGCUGAUCCUCCCCGGCAUCGCCUGUGUGCCGGUGUGAGGGUCUCAAACUGAAGCAGGCUACGCGUUUCUCCACCACCUGAGGAGAAACGAAGAGACUAAUCAGGUUAGCGUCUGUGAAAUGCCCGUCGAUAGGCUGAGCAGUUCGCGAAUUCCAAUGAAUCGACUAAGCUUGUAGAUGCCCGAGUGUCGUUAUCUCCGGACGUGGGUUCGACUCCCACCGUCUCCACCA